UGGGGUUUGAUGUAGCGGAUAGCAUCUUCGUCUGUGACACGAAGUGGGGAGUUCGAAUCUCCGGCCCCAA
This 70-nucleotide transfer RNA is filed under the name Pseudomonas phage phiPsa347. RNAcentral describes it as "tRNA-His". Lineage: Duplodnaviria; Heunggongvirae; Uroviricota; Caudoviricetes; Vandenendeviridae. The record is from RNAcentral.